UUUCUUCCCCCUCCCAUCUUCCCCAAACCCACCAUGCCCCCAUCAUCCACCUCUUCCUCCGCUCCCACUACCUGCAACCCAUAAAAGAAAAGAAAAAAAAAACUCAUCUCCCUUUCCCUGCAACCCAGAUCCCUUCUUCUCCAAUGAGUGGAUUUAAGGAGUGAGGUGUGUAGAUGAGGGAAGUAGAUGCGUGUGAGGGUGGGUGCGCUUUUUUCUUUUUCUUUCUGGGUUGCAGGUUGGGGUAGUGGAAGAUGGGUGCACGGCGGAGGUGGAGCUGGGUGCAGAGAAAAAGGUGGAGGAUGGGUGCGGACCGUCGGACUUCGCCAGGUAUGCUAUCUGGGUUUUUUUGUUUGGGGGGGUGGUAAUGGAUCGGGGUUUCAGAGGUGUUUUUUUUUUUUGGUUCAAGGUUGCCGGGGGGAUGAUGGGAUCGGGUUUCAUAGCUAUUUUUUUUCUUGAACCUUCUUCCCUUCUCUCCUGUGCAUCUGCAAACUAGUGCAACAAUCAUUAGACUGCAUUGGAAUUCCAGUGCAAUCAUUGGAAAAACAAAAACAGCAAGAAUAAGGUUUUCAAACUAGCAGCGGCCGGGUUGCAGUGGUUCGACAAAUCCAACUCAUGGGAAUCGACUGUGGGUAUGAGACUAGUCGGUGCGGAAACGAAACACGGCAAAGUUCAGGGCGAGUCUGACAACGGGUGAUAGUGGACGGCGGCGGUGAGAACCGAUUCCAGUGAUGCGGGACAGAAACGGGGCAACAAGGAUGGCGAUGGAGCAGCGGGCAUGUAAUCCUGGGUCAGUCGGAUCUGGGUGAUGGGUUAGCGCGGGAGAUUCAAGCAGGUGGCGAGACUGGUUCGAGGCGUUGGACAGAUCGGUGGCUGGUGGUCUGAUGCUUGAUGGUGGUGGUCGAUCUGGUAGGGGAUUAAUGGGAUCUGGGGUUUGAAUAAUGGGAACUGGGUUUUUGCGGCGGAGGGGGUGGUAACGGAUCGGGGUUUCAGAGGUGUUUUUUUUUUUUUUUUUGGUUCAAGGUUGCAGAGGGGGGGAUAAUGGGAUCGGGUUUCAGAGAUUUUUUUUUGGUUAAGGGUUCAGGUACGAGG
This 1089-nucleotide long non-coding RNA is filed under the name Malus domestica (apple). Its description in RNAcentral is "long non-coding RNA (MDOM_LNC014351)". Lineage: Eukaryota; Viridiplantae; Streptophyta; Magnoliopsida; Rosales; Rosaceae. The record is from RNAcentral.